UCGGAAUUACUGGGCGUAAAGCGCAUGCAGGUGGUUUGUUAAGUCAGAUGUGAAAGCCCGGGGCUCAACCUCGGAAUAGCAUUUGAAACUGGCAGACUAGAGUACUGUAGAGGGGGGUAGAAUUUCAGGUGUAGCGGUGAAAUGCGUAGAGAUCUGAAGGAAUACCGGUGGCGAAGGCGGCCCCCUGGACAGAUACUGACACUCAGAUGCGAAAGCGUGGGGAGCAAACAGGAUUAGAUACCCUGGUAGUCCACGCCGUAAACGAUGUCUACUUGGAGGUUGUGGCCUUGAGCCGUGGCUUUCGGAGCUAACGCGUUAAGUAGACCGCCUGGGGAGUACGGUCGCAAGAUUAAAACUCAAAUGAAUUGACGGGGGCCCGCACAAGCGGUGGAGCAUGUGGUUUAAUUCGAUGCAACGCGAAGAACCUUACCUACUCUUGACAUCCAGAGAACUUUCCAAAAAUGGAUUGGUGG
Molecule: ribosomal RNA, 473 nt
Filed under: Vibrio neocaledonicus
Lineage: Bacteria; Pseudomonadati; Pseudomonadota; Gammaproteobacteria; Vibrionales; Vibrionaceae
Description: bacterial SSU rRNA
Rfam family: Bacterial small subunit ribosomal RNA
Source: RNAcentral